This is a long non-coding RNA of Passer domesticus (house sparrow), 1270 nucleotides long. RefSeq lists it as uncharacterized. The record is from RefSeq and is a predicted model, not a curated record. NCBI's taxonomy places the organism in Eukaryota, Metazoa, Chordata, Aves, Passeriformes, Passeridae. The transcript is spliced from 2 exons.
AAGAUUCCCUGAGUUAUUGCACCAGCUACCAAAAAACAGAUAAGCUUUAUGGUGGCAGGGACAGAAGUCCUGCUACAGGCUCUUCUCAUGAUGUCCUGGUUCCUGCAGCCUAUCCAGAUCUGCCUGUAGCAACGCUUUUCCCAAUCCUACAGCACUCUGUUGAUAAAAGAUGCUGUUGUGUCAAAUCAUCCAUGCUGUGAACUGCUUUGUUUGUUUACUGUGUGGCAAAUUUUACAGUCAUCUGUCCUUAUGGAGGACAGAUGACUGUAAAAGGGGGCUGAGUUGCUGCUCCUAGACCAACCCACUGGAGAACAGACGUGCAGGCAAUUAAAUGGUGCAUUGGCAGAACUUUGACCUGAUCCUGACCCAUUUUCCAGGGGUGACAUUUACAGAUGGAUUAUUUCUGCAAGCAAGCUCAGGCUGUGAUCACCCUGGGAGCUUUUCCAGCAGGCUGCAUGGUCUGGCUUCCUUGGUGACACCAACAUUGAGUUCAUCAUCUGUACAGGCUUGAGCCUGUACGGAGACAACAUGAAAACUACUAUAUGGAAUGGCCAACAUGUGUCCCUUCCUUAGCAGAACCCGUAAGUUUAUAAUACACAGGGAAAUUCAGAGUGGUAUAAACUGGCAGAUUUCCACAGGAUUGUGAUUCACACCAGGAGGUGUCAGUAUUGUUUGGUUUAACCUCUCUCCAGAUCCCCAGAUACACUUUUUCCUGGUUUCUGUGAUUUCUGCUGUGGCAUCUCCAAGGAUCAGGCUCCCCAGAGUCCAUGCUGCUCCCUUUGGCAGGUGUUUAGCUGCCAGGAGAUAGGGAUAGCUUUGGGCUCCUGGGCUCUUGCAGAUGCUGAUCCUUUAUCAGGCUCAGACUGUGCUCUCCCUGUGGCUUGGGAGCACAGGGCACUGGGUGCAGGCUGGAGGCUGGAGAGCAGAUCUAAGUUGAAGGCAGCAGUGGAAAGAAGGAAACAAUCCUGGGGUGCCGGUGUUUACCCUGAGAAAAGAGAACAGCUUUAGGAUCAAAACACAAGCCUGCUCCUGAUCCAAGCUAUCCUUUCUGAGCAGAAUUUGCCUGCAACCCAUUUAGGCCAGGAUCUUUGGCCAAUCACAGCCAGAACCAGACAUCCAGAGGGGGACUGCAGGAGAUUCCUGCAUCAUGGAAGAAGUCCUUCUUUGGCUCAUGGUUUUUCAGGAGCAGUUAAAUGCUGAAGAAAACUCUGAAUACUCUUGAUAUCCAUCUAAACAGAUAUGACUUAAUUAAAUCUCAUUAUAUAGUGAA